UAAAAUUCACAUUUUUUAAACUACAAAAACUCCCUAUAAAUUCUAAAACAUACUUAAAUCCUUUUUACCAAACCAUCUGCAUAACAUAUCCUUCAAAAUCUAAAUCCAACCAAAAUUUGUGAUAAAGAUUUAAGAACAUUUCAAAAAUUUGAGUUUUAUAUAAUUAAUGCAGAAAAAAGAAAUAUGUCAAAAUCUACGUAUCAUUUAAAUGUUAUACAGUUUUGAAGAAAAAUUUCAAAUUGUCAUACGUUUCUUUCAAGUUAAAUACUUUGGAACUACCCAUUUAAAAAAGAAAAAGAAGAAGAAGAAGAAGCCGAUAGAGAUUCCCGAAACAUGGUCGAAUUCAAUUCACGUUUUGUUUGUCUUUCUGCUUUCUAGUAUGGC
This 384-nucleotide long non-coding RNA is filed under the name Malus domestica (apple). RNAcentral describes it as "long non-coding RNA (MDOM_LNC012191)". Lineage: Eukaryota; Viridiplantae; Streptophyta; Magnoliopsida; Rosales; Rosaceae. The record is from RNAcentral.